UUAGAUCACCGAAGUCAAGUAUCAUUGGGCGCGGUCAGUACUUGGGUGGGUGACCACCUGGGAACACCGCGUGCCGUU
Caerostris darwini is the source of this 78-nucleotide non-coding RNA. NCBI's taxonomy places the organism in Eukaryota, Metazoa, Arthropoda, Arachnida, Araneae, Araneidae. The record is from the annotation of a GenBank genome assembly.